RNAcentral lists this transfer RNA (92 nucleotides) under Felis catus (domestic cat). It matches the Rfam family "tRNA". Rfam says of the family: Transfer RNA (tRNA) molecules are approximately 80 nucleotides in length. Their secondary structure includes four short double-helical elements and three loops (D, anti-codon, and T loops). Further hydrogen bonds mediate the characteristic L-shaped molecular structure. tRNAs have two regions of fundamental functional importance: the anti-codon, which is responsible for specific mRNA codon recognition, and the 3' end, to which the tRNAs corresponding amino acid is attached (by aminoacyl-tRNA synthetases). tRNAs cope with the degeneracy of the genetic code in two manners: having more than one tRNA (with a specific anti-codon) for a particular amino acid; and 'wobble' base-pairing, i.e. permitting non-standard base-pairing at the 3rd anti-codon position. The record is from Rfam by way of RNAcentral. Lineage: Eukaryota; Metazoa; Chordata; Mammalia; Carnivora; Felidae.
GCCUGGGUGGCUUAGUUGGUUAAGUGUCUGACUCUUGAUCUCAGCUCAGGUCAUGAUCUCACGGUUUGUGGGUUCAAGCCCCACAGCAGGCU